AAAUUAUGUUAAGGGCAUUUCCUCAAGAGUCCCUUAAAACGCUCUAAUGCCUCAUACAAUUUUUUACUCUCAAGCUAAACAAAUGAAUUAAUAUCACUCUUCAUCAU
Molecule: small nucleolar RNA, 107 nt
Organism: Lotus japonicus
Lineage: Eukaryota; Viridiplantae; Streptophyta; Magnoliopsida; Fabales; Fabaceae
Source: RefSeq, a predicted model, not a curated record